GCAAUAUUAUGAGGAAGUUUGUUUGCCUCUGCACAAAGGAGAAACUGAUCCACCUAAACUGUAGAACUAGGAGUUUAGUAUCUUUCACAAUCAGGUCCUGGAAAGAAGAGACGUCGUGGAACCAGUACAUAAUGCAUGGAUUGUAGCCUCUACCGAAAGAGUAUGAGAACCCGCAGACAAAGCCAGAUACAGACCAAAGAAAACGGCAUGUGCUUCUGCGAUAU
This 224-nucleotide unclassified non-coding RNA is filed under the name Hevea brasiliensis (rubber tree). Lineage: Eukaryota; Viridiplantae; Streptophyta; Magnoliopsida; Malpighiales; Euphorbiaceae. The record is from RNAcentral.